GGGUCAGCUCCCAGAUCCAACUGACUCAGUCUGGAACAGAAGUAAAAAAGCCUGGGGAGUCGGUGAACCUGACGUGUAAAACCUUUGGUUAUUCAUUCACCACUUAUAAUGUGGAUUGGGUACGUCAGGUCCCUGGGAAAGGGCUCGAGUACAUAGGAGGGAUCAAUACCAAUACCGGUGGUACUAGCUAUGCUGAAGCUUUCAAAGGGCGAUUCACCAUCACCAGGGACACCUCCAUCAGCACGGUCUAUCUGCAGAUGAGCAGCCUGAAGACAGAUGACACGGCCACGUAUUACUGUGCCAGGACCACAGUGAAAUAA
This is a non-coding RNA of Alligator sinensis (Chinese alligator), 320 nucleotides long. Lineage: Eukaryota; Metazoa; Chordata; Crocodylia; Alligatoridae. The record is from the annotation of a RefSeq genome assembly.